CUGAUUAUUGAAAGUUGCUUGCAUCUUGAUUUAAUUUUGAACGAGUGGCGGACGGGUGAGUAACACGUGGGUAACCUGCCCUUAAUUGGGGGAUAACAUUUGGAAACAGAUGCUAAUACCGCAUAAAUCCAAGAACCGCAUGGUUCUUGGCUGAAAGAUGGCGUAAGCUAUCGCUUUUGGAUGGACCCGCGGCGUAUUAGCUAGUUGGUGAGGUAACGGCUCACCAAGGCAAUGAUACGUAGCCGAACUGAGAGGUUGAUCGGCCACAUUGGGACUGAGACACGGCCCAAACUCCUACGGGAGGCAGCAGUAGGGAAUCUUCCACAAUGGACGCAAGUCUGAUGGAGCAACGCCGCGUGAGUGAAGAAGGCUUUCGGGUCGUAAAACUCUGUUGUUGGAGAAGAAUGGUCGGCAGAGUAACUGUUGUCGGCGUGACGGUAUCCAACCAGAAAGCCACGGCUAACUACGUGCCAGCAGCCGCGGUAAUACGUAGGUGGCAAGCGUUAUCCGGAUUUAUUGGGCGUAAAGCGAGCGCAGGCGGUUUUUUAAGUCUGAUGUGAAAGCCCUCGGCUUAACCGAGGAAGUGCAUCGGAAACUGGGAAACUUGAGUGCAGAAGAGGACAGUGGAACUCCAUGUGUAGCGGUGAAAUGCGUAGAUAUAUGGAAGAACACCAGUGGCGAAGGCGGCUGUCUGGUCUGUAACUGACGCUGAGGCUCGAAAGC
Molecule: ribosomal RNA, 723 nt
Filed under: Lacticaseibacillus rhamnosus
Lineage: Bacteria; Bacillati; Bacillota; Bacilli; Lactobacillales; Lactobacillaceae
Description: bacterial SSU rRNA
Rfam family: Bacterial small subunit ribosomal RNA
Source: RNAcentral